GGAUUAGAUACCCUGGUAGUCCACGCCGUAAACGAUGUCUACUAGUCGUUGGGAAUCUUAGUAUUCUUGGUGACGAAGUUAACGCGAUAAGUAGACCGCCUGGGGAGUACGGCCGCAAGGUUAAAACUCAAAUGAAUUGACGGGGGCCCGCACAAGCGGUGGAGCAUGUGGUUUAAUUCGAUGCAACGCGAAGAACCUUACCAGGCCUUGACAUCCUUGGAACUUUCUAGAGAUAGAUUGGUGCCUUCGGGAGCCAAGUGACAGGUGCUGCAUGGCUGUCGUCAGCUCGUGCCG
Molecule: ribosomal RNA, 294 nt
Filed under: uncultured bacterium
Lineage: Bacteria
Description: partial 16S ribosomal RNA
Rfam family: Bacterial small subunit ribosomal RNA
Source: RNAcentral